This 149-nucleotide unclassified non-coding RNA is filed under the name uncultured fungus. RNAcentral's name for it is "sequence contains ITS1, 5.8S rRNA gene". Lineage: Eukaryota; Fungi. The record is from RNAcentral.
CUGGGUUUUGUAAGGCCUCGUGCCUAUCACCCGCCCUCUGUCAUGUAUAAUUGCAGUGCUUCGGCCGCUGGCGCCUCGUGGUGUCACGGUCGGUCUCCCAAUUCUUGAAUGCAUUUGUGUUGUCUGACGAAAUUGAUAAAACGAAAAUA